CUUAUCCAUAUUUGAUUAAAAAACUUCAAAUACGACCUCAAUAGUUUCACACUUUUUCACUUUAAUAUCCUAUAAUUUAAAAUAUAUCACUUUCAUAUCCUCUUAGUUUUAUUUUUUUUUAUUAUUUUCUCUACUAAUUUUUUUUGUUAAAACAAUGUCAAAAUUAAAACUAAAGAGUACUAAAGUGAAUAUUCGAUAAACUAUAGGCAGGACAUCUGAAGUUUUAUAUAAAUAAUUUAACGAAAAAUUAACAGAGGGACUGACGAAAAAAGAAAAAUAAAAUAACAGAAUACUAAACUGAUACACUUUAAACCACAUGAUACUAAAGUCAGAAAGCGCAUAACUACAGGAUUGGCAUUUGAAGUUUACUCUUGAUUCAUAGACAGAGGAAGGACCUCCUUUUCUAAAAAUAGCUCUUAUAUAAUUUAUAAUUUAUUACAUAACUCUAUCAAAAUUUUAUCCAAUCAUAUAAUCCUAUAUUUUGUCUAACUCCGUACCAAGAUAAAAGAAUAAGGGCCUGUUUGGAUAUACAGUAAAAUAUCUCCACGGAAUUUAUAAACUGUGGUUUCGGUCUAGAUAAAAUAGAGAAUCCUGUAACUCUAAAAAAUUCCACGGAUUCAAUUUUUAAACUGUUUGGAUACGCAUUGUACAAUUUCAUAGGAUUUUUCUAAAUUUUAAGAUUAAAAGUUAAAAUUUAAAAUUUAAAAUUUGAUAUGUGAAAUGUGAAAUUUUGAAUCUUGAAUUUUAAAUUUUAAAUUUUCAAAUUUGAAAUUUACAAAUUUAAAAUUUAAAAUUUAAAAAUCUAAAUUUAAUUUUUAAAUUUUUAAAUUUUUAAAUUUAAAAUUUUAAAAUAAAAAAUUUAAAAUUUAAAAUUUGAAAUUUGAAAUUUAGAUAAUUUUAAU
This 902-nucleotide long non-coding RNA is filed under the name Ananas comosus (pineapple). Its description in RNAcentral is "long non-coding RNA (ACOM_LNC018496)". Lineage: Eukaryota; Viridiplantae; Streptophyta; Magnoliopsida; Poales; Bromeliaceae. The record is from RNAcentral.